AAGGAUCAUUACCGAAUUGUCGACACGAGUUGUUGCUGGUCCUCAAAUGGGGGCAUGUGCACGCUCUGUUUACACAUCCACUCACACCUGUGCACCCACUGUAGUUCUAUGGCCUGGGGGGCUCCGUCCCUUUUGCCGUGGUUCUAUGUCUUUACAUACACACUGUAAUAAAGUUUCACGGAAUGCAUCAUGCGUUUAACGCAAUACAAUACAACUUUCAGCAACGGAUCUCUUGGCUCUCGCAUCGAUGAAGAACGCAGCGAAAUGCGAUAAGUAAUGUGAAUUGCAGAAUUCAGUGAAUCAUCGAAUCUUUGAACGCACCUUGCGCCUUCUGGCUAUUCCAGAGGGCAUGCCUGUUUGAGUAUCAUGAACACCUCAACUCUCACGGUUUUGCCGUGAUGAGCUUGGACUUUGGAGGUCUUGCCGGCCUGUGGUCGGCUCCUCUCAAAUGAAUCAGCUUGCCAGUGUUUGGUGGCGUCACAGGUGUGAUAACUAUCUACGCUUGUGGCUCCCACCGGGUAACCUUCAGUGAUGGGGGUUCGCUGGAGCUCAUAAAUGUCUCUCCUCAGUGAGGACAGCUUCUUGAAUGUUUGAUCUCAAAUCAGGUAGGGCUACCCGCUGAACUUAA
Molecule: ribosomal RNA, 628 nt
Filed under: uncultured fungus
Lineage: Eukaryota; Fungi
Description: eukaryotic LSU rRNA
Rfam family: 5.8S ribosomal RNA (bases 213-367)
Source: RNAcentral